RNAcentral lists this ribosomal RNA (253 nucleotides) under uncultured bacterium. RNAcentral describes it as "partial 16S ribosomal RNA". It matches the Rfam family "Bacterial small subunit ribosomal RNA", at positions 524 to 776 of the family's 1533-position model. The record is from RNAcentral.
UACGUAGGGUGCGAGCGUUAAUCGGAAUUAUUGGGCGUAAAGAGCUCGUAGGCGGUCUGUCGCGUCGGAUGUGAAAAUCCAGGGCUCAACCCUGGACCUGCAUUCGAUACGGGCAGACUAGAGUUCGGUAGGGGAGACUGGAAUUCCUGGUGUAGCGGUGAAAUGCGCAGAUAUCAGGAGGAACACCGGUGGCGAAGGCGGGUCUCUGGGCCGAAACUGACGCUGAGGAGCGAAAGCGUGGGGAGCAAACAGG